This 2023-nucleotide long non-coding RNA is filed under the name Homo sapiens (human). RNAcentral describes it as "HSALNT0262568". The record is from RNAcentral. Lineage: Eukaryota; Metazoa; Chordata; Mammalia; Primates; Hominidae.
CAGUCACCGCGCAUUCCCCCUUCCGCGCCCACGGCAGUCACCGCGCAUUCCCCCGCCGCGCCCUGCAGCCUCUGAACUCCUUUCCGUCCCUCUGGACUUGCUGCCGUGUGCUCUGCACAGGAGAGGGACAGCAUCUGUUCCUGCGUGUCUGACUCUUCCACACAGCAUGGUGCUGCGGCGUGCCAGCGUGUCGCUCCUCUCUCGGGCUGAACCCCACUCCACUGUACGGCGGCCACAGUGGUCCAUGCACCCACCCAUCGCUGGAGGACAACUGUGAGCUGCUUCCACAGCGGGCAUUGUGUAUACUCCAGCUUCAACGCCGCGUCCAUCCAUUUAUUUCUGUGGACGUUCGCGUUCAUCUCUCUGGGAAGGAGAAGCCUGCGCAGGCCCCAGCCCGCCCGCGAGUCUUCAAUUCUGUGUCUUAUCAGAGUUGCCUACUGAGGUGGAGGCGGGCACAACCCUCGACCAACCAUUAGCAAAGCCCAUGCUCCGGCCGUCUGGCCCCAGUUCCUGGUGUGACCUCACCCCCAGGUGGGUAGGACUCCUGGUGAGACACAGCGGCGCCACCCCACCUCGUUCCCCAACAACCUCAACACCGGAAGAGAAAACCCAGGCGAGGCCCCCUUGGGCUGAAUGCACUCGGCUCUGAGGAAACCUCCGGCAUCCAGCACCUCAUUCCAGGCCGGGGUCUGCAGACCAGCACGUGGGAACGGCGGCAUCCAGCACCUCAUUCCAGGCGGAAGUCUGCAGACCAGCACGCGGAACAGUGGGGCUUCCACCUGAGCACCACACACCUCCUUGGCACAACCCCUCUGAACCGAUUUUCCCGAGUCCCUCCAGUGACAAGAAGCUCACCACUAUCCAGGUACAGAACGGAGCCAGCCCCACUGCAGGGUGCUGUCAACCUGCCCUCACGAAGGGCCUGAGAGUCUGAGGAGAACUCGGGACGUGCCUGUUUAAAUAAAUUCAUGUGCACAGAUAUGCCAUGUGGGUCACUGGGCAGCCCCUGGCCACCCCACCCCACGGUUCCAGGCACUGCUCUAAACGGCUGACGAACUGUAAUUACGUCUGUAUUAAGGGAAAAAGCCUAAAGGGGUGUCUUGGACAGCGGCUGGGGCUACGUAUCGGAACUGGUAGAUGGCUGGGUGCUGGGGGCCAGCAGUGAAGGCGACGGCACAGAACAGGCCACCCCAGUGCAGCCCCAAAGGCACGGGGGCAGCAGCAGAUGCGAGAAGGGUGCUCUAGCCUCCCCUUUCUUCCUGCAAGCAGAUGAAACCCCACGUGAAACACGCCCUCCUCGUAGAGGAAGAGGACGUGCUCAUCACCAGCACCGGGAGCUGAGGCUGAGAGACAGCUGCACACACCAACCCUUAUCUCCCUCAGCCUCCCCAAGGAUUUUAGUUACUUUUUCACAGUUGCUAUUCUUGGGCAUAGAAGCCCUCAGGUCUAACUGCUUCAGGAGGCCUUCACUUUCUGAAGUCUCCCAUGUACCUGUAAAAAUAACAUUUGUGGCCGUGCGCAGCGGCUCACACCUGUAAUCCCAGCACACUGGGAGGCCGAGGCGGGUGGAUCACGAGAUCGAGACCAUCCUGGCUAACACAGUGAAACCCCAUCUCUACUAAAAAUACAAAAAUUAGCCGGGAGUGGUGGCGGGCGCCUGUAGUCCCAGCUACUCGGGAGGCUGAGGCAGGAGAAUGGCGUGAACCCGGGAGGCGGAGCUUGCAGUGAGCCGAGAUCACGCCACUGCACUCCAGCCUGGGCGACAAAGUGAGACUCCGUCUCAAAAAAAUAAAAUAACAUUCGUAAGCUUUUCUCCUGUUAUUCUAUGUCAACCUAAUUCUCAGACUCUGCCAGAGACCCAAGGAGGGAAGCCACUGCACGCAGCCUAAUGUUCAGGAAUUACAUAGUGGUGAUGAUUACACAACUUUGUGAAUAUAUUAAAAACCAGUGAAUUGUACAUUUUAAAAAAGCAAAUGUUGGCCGGGCACGGUGGCUCACGCCUGUAAUCCCAACACUUUGGGAG